RNAcentral lists this long non-coding RNA (294 nucleotides) under Struthio camelus australis. RNAcentral describes it as "lncRNA (ENSSCUG00000018137.1)". Lineage: Eukaryota; Metazoa; Chordata; Aves; Struthioniformes; Struthionidae. The record is from RNAcentral.
AGCUGGGUGCUCCUCGCCGUCUGGAGCUGCUUUCCGUGCCCUGCCGCGGCGGUGUCUCGUGCUGCUCAGCCCCAAAGUUCACAGCCUCCCUGUCUGCUGGCAACCCAGAAGGAUGUACGAAGCUGCUGGAAACGAGCAGAGCCAAGAGGAUGAGAAUGGAGUUUCACUUUGGGUCUCACCUGGGAUUGCAUCCUGCAAACAGGAGGUGCUUCUCCUCUGCCUGGAAGAAGAGCGUGAGCAGAGAAGGAUGAGGAAGCGAGUGAGGAUCAGCCCUUCCCGCUGGAGCAGGGCUUU